This 487-nucleotide ribosomal RNA is filed under the name uncultured eukaryote. Its description in RNAcentral is "bacterial SSU rRNA". It matches the Rfam family "Eukaryotic small subunit ribosomal RNA", at positions 8 to 492 of the family's 1831-position model. The record is from RNAcentral.
UUGAUCCUCCCAUUCGCCAUAGGUUUGUCACAAAAAUUACCCCUUGCAUGCCUAAAUGUAAUACUGAAUUAUACUGAUAAACUGCGAAGGGCUCAUUAAACCCGUUAUAGUUAAUUUGAGGUUCCCCCCCCCCCGGAUAACCGUGGGAAUUCUAAACCUAAUACUGGCGCAGGAUCCGACUUCACAAAGGGCCGUAGAUAUAACAUAAAAGGCCGGCCGGGAUCUACUGUCCAAUCCGCGACGAAUCAUGAGCCUUUCACAAACCGCAUAGCCUGGUGCUGGCAAAGUUUCAUUCAAAUUUCCGCCCUAUCAACUUUCAACGGUAGGAGAAAGGCCUACCAUGGAGGAAACGGGAAACGCAGGAUUAUGGUCCGAUUCCGGACAGGGAGCUUGAAAACCGGCUACAACAUCAACGGAAGGAAGCAGGCGCUCAAAUAACCCAACCCUGACCCGGGGAGGAAGCAACAUAAAAUAACAAUGCGGGGCA